UUGUGCACAAUCUCUCCUCUUGUAAAUUAUUACCGACCACCGUCAGGAAACAAAAAAGAGUGUUGCAACACAUGCAGUUCACUCUAGUCAGAGAGGUUGGGAAAACACAAAAGACACAGGACAAGUUCGACAUUCUUUUCCGGAGAAUGAAACUUUUCUUUGAAGUAUUCCAAAUCAUUUCUCAUUUAUGAACAGUGCAAAUGAAGAUUUACGAGCCGGGCAAUUUACAGCCUCGGAUUGAACAGACUUCUUCUGUCCUGGCAAUGCUUAUCUGGAUCCUCCUGAGAAAUGUCACGAUGCAAACUGGUAGUAAAGUGACACCAAGGUAAGAGAUGGAGCAUAAGAAGAGCUACAAGCAAAACUGAGAGUUUCUUUCUAAAUGUUGUCAAUUCACCUCAUUCUUGAUCUGUAACUCUGCUGCCAUUAGUAUCGAUGGCCUGGUUAUGUGGUGGUUUCGAGAUAAAUAAAUAGACACAAAUAAAUCACAA
Molecule: non-coding RNA, 488 nt
Organism: Pantherophis guttatus
Lineage: Eukaryota; Metazoa; Chordata; Lepidosauria; Squamata; Colubridae
Source: RefSeq, a predicted model, not a curated record